GCGGAAGUGGCUCAGUGGUAGAGCAUCUCCUUCCCAAGGAGAGGGUCGCGGGUUCGAAUCCCGUCUUCCGCUCCA
This 75-nucleotide transfer RNA is filed under the name Chloroflexota bacterium. RNAcentral's name for it is "tRNA-Gly". It matches the Rfam family "tRNA". From Rfam's summary of the family: Transfer RNA (tRNA) molecules are approximately 80 nucleotides in length. Their secondary structure includes four short double-helical elements and three loops (D, anti-codon, and T loops). The record is from RNAcentral. Lineage: Bacteria; Bacillati; Chloroflexota.